This 19-nucleotide small nuclear RNA is filed under the name Arabidopsis thaliana (thale cress). RNAcentral describes it as "snRNA_11844". Lineage: Eukaryota; Viridiplantae; Streptophyta; Magnoliopsida; Brassicales; Brassicaceae. The record is from RNAcentral.
CUAGCCCCGAAAAUGGAUG